CCUACGGGAGACAGCAGUGAGGAAUAUUGGUCAAUGGGCGAGAGCCUGAACCAGCCAAGUAGCGUGUAGGAUGACUGCCCUACGGGUUGUAAACUUCUUUUAUAAAGGAAUAAAGUGAGGCACGUGAGCCUUUUUGUAUGUACUUUAUGCAUAAGGAUCGGCUACCUCCGUGCCAGCAGCCGCGGUAAUACGGAGGAUCCGAGCGUUAUCCGGAUUUAUUGGGGUUAAAGGGGGCGUAGAUGGGAUGUUAAGUCAGUUGUGAAAGUUUGCGGCUCAACCGUAAAAUUGCAAUUGAUACUGGCAGUCGUGAGUACAGUUGAGGUAGGCGGAAUUCGUGGUGUAGCGGUGAAAUGCGUAGAUAGCACGAAGAACUCCGAUUGCGAAGGCAGCUUACUAAACUGCCACUGACAUUGAUGCUCGAAAGUGUGGGUAUCAAACAGGAUUAGAUACCCCAGUAGUC
Molecule: ribosomal RNA, 460 nt
Filed under: uncultured bacterium
Lineage: Bacteria
Description: partial 16S ribosomal RNA
Rfam family: Bacterial small subunit ribosomal RNA
Source: RNAcentral